Phasianus colchicus (ring-necked pheasant) is the source of this 294-nucleotide non-coding RNA. Lineage: Eukaryota; Metazoa; Chordata; Aves; Galliformes; Phasianidae. The record is from RefSeq and is a predicted model, not a curated record.
AGAAGAUGGCCUACUUAAAGAACUGGGGAGAAGGCUGGGGCUUUGUGCCUUCUGACAGAGCCCUGGUCUUCGUGGAUAACCACGACAACCAGCGGGGGCACGGGGCAGGUGGAGCUUCCAUUCUUACCUUCUGGGAUGCCAGGCUUUAUAAGAUGGCAGUUGGUUUCAUGCUCGCUCAUCCGUACGGGCUCACGCGGGUGAUGUCAAGUUAUCGUUGGCCAAGAUAUUUCCAGAACGGAGUGGUGAGUUUGUAGCGCUGAAGAUCUGGGCAUGUCAAACAUGAAUGAUUUCUCU